Molecule: ribosomal RNA, 600 nt
Filed under: uncultured bacterium
Lineage: Bacteria
Description: bacterial SSU rRNA
Rfam family: Bacterial small subunit ribosomal RNA
Source: RNAcentral
AAACGAUGUCGACUUGGAGGUUGUGGCUUCCGGAGCUAACGCGUUAAGUCGACCGCCUGGGGAGUACGGCCGCAAGGUUAAAACUCAAAUGAAUUGACGGGGGCCCGCACAAGCGGUGGAGCAUGUGGUUUAAUUCGAUGCAACGCGAAGAACCUUACCUGGUCUUGACAUCCAGGUGCUGCAUGGCUGUCGUCAGCUCGUGUUGUGAAAUGUUGGGUUAAGUCCCGCAACGAGCGCAACCCUUAUCCUUUGUUGCAACUCAAAGGAGACUGCCAGUGAUAAACUGGAGGAAGGUGGGGAUGACGUCAAGUCAUCAUGGCCCUUACGACCAGGGCUACACACGUGCUACAAUGGCGCAUACAAAGAGAAGCGACCUCGCGAGAGCAAGCGGACCUCAUAAAGUGCGUCGUAGUCCGGAUUGGAGUCUGCAACUCGACUCCAUGAAGUCGGAAUCGCUAGUAAUCGUGGAUCAGAUGCCACGGUGAAUACGUUCCCGGGCCUUGUACACACCGCCCGUCACACCAUGGGAGUGGGUUGCAAAAGAAGUAGGUUACCACUUUGUGAUUCAUGACUGGGGUGAAGCGUAACAAGUAACCAAGG